GCUUGUCUCAAAGAUUAAGCCAUGCAUGUCUAAGUAUAAGCAACCUUAUACAGCGAAACUGCGUACAGCUCAUUAUAUCAGCAAUUAUUUAUUUGAAGAUCACCUAUUACAUGGAUAACCGUGGUAAUUCUAGAGCUAAUACAUGCGAAAAGACGGGCCGCAAGGCUUGUUGUAUUUAUUAGAUCCAACCAACCGCGGCGGGCAACCGGCGCGAACCUGGUGAAUCAUGAUAACUGAGCGAAUCGUAUGGCCUCGCGCCGACGAUGGUUCAUUCAAGUUUCUGCCCUAUCAGCUUUCGAUGGUAGGGUAUUGGCCUACCAUGGCAUUGACGGGUAACGGAGAAUUAGGGUUCGAUUCCGGAGAGGGAGCCUGAGAAACGGCUACCACAUCCAAGGAAGGCAGCAGG
This 406-nucleotide ribosomal RNA is filed under the name uncultured fungus. RNAcentral's name for it is "partial small subunit ribosomal RNA". It matches the Rfam family "Eukaryotic small subunit ribosomal RNA", at positions 30 to 432 of the family's 1831-position model. Lineage: Eukaryota; Fungi. The record is from RNAcentral.